UACGGGGGGGGUAAGCGUUGUUCGGAAUUACUGGGCGUAAAGGGCUCGUAGGCGGCCAACUAAGUCAUACGUGAAAUCCCUCAGCUUAACUGGGGAACUGCGUGUGAUACUGGAUGGCUUGGAUUUGGGAGAGGGAUGCGGAAUUCCAGGUGUAGCGGUGGAAUGCGUAGAGAUCCGGAGGAAGACCGGUGGCGAAGGCGGUCUGCUGGGCAGUUUCUGACACUGAGGCACGAAGGCCAGGGGAGCAAACGGG
RNAcentral lists this ribosomal RNA (253 nucleotides) under uncultured bacterium. RNAcentral describes it as "partial 16S ribosomal RNA". It matches the Rfam family "Bacterial small subunit ribosomal RNA", at positions 524 to 776 of the family's 1533-position model. The record is from RNAcentral.